Long non-coding RNA from Schistocerca cancellata (South American locust), 2143 nucleotides. RefSeq lists it as uncharacterized. NCBI's taxonomy places the organism in Eukaryota, Metazoa, Arthropoda, Insecta, Orthoptera, Acrididae. The record is from RefSeq and is a predicted model, not a curated record. The transcript is spliced from 3 exons.
UUGCUACGAACGUCUUACUGUCGGGACACCUUCGUGCUGGAAAUCUGUCUCGAUACAAACGUACCGCGCCACGGUUAUUGCCCCGUCCUAAUCCAUACAUGAAAUGGGCAUCUGCCAACUUCGCAUUUGUAAACAUUCCACUGACUGUAAAACCACGCUCGUGAUGAACACUAACCUGUUGAUGCUACGUACUGAUGUGCUUGAUGCUAGUACUGUAGAGCAAUGAGUCGCAUGUCAUGUCAACACAAGCACCGAAGUCAACAAUCUUUUCUUUAUUUGUGUGUGAGGAAUGUUUCCUGAAAGUUUGGCUGUACCUUUUUGUAACACCCAGUAUAAAUAUAAGAGUACAUUCAGUAAUAUCUGAUGUUAUAUAAAUAUAAUAGUGCUUUCUGUCAAUCUUUCUCUCCCCUGAGUGUAUUGUCAUUAUCAGUAAUAUGCAGACGGGAAUAAAUAUUCAAAAGACGUUGAUCAUCUGAUAAAACAAACUACCACUCAGAAUAAAAAGCACAGACAAGACUAGCACAUAUGUGAAAGAAUUAAAAGGUAACUUAGUCUUAAGCCCCUAUAAAGUAUAAAGGAAAUUUUACAAGCUAGUUCUUCCAGGGCAUUUCUUUGCCAAACAAAAAGUCUUCAGUUAGACACCAAUACGACUUUUUUCUUGAUUUUCUUACAACAAAUUUCAUCAACUCCUUCGAAAUAUCCUAAAUGUUUUGCUGCUUUUAAGCAGCAUUUAUUCAUUGUACAUAAGCCAAAUAAGCUACUAAUUUAAUUCGACUGUUAGAAAGGCUAACCGUAUUUUGCAAUCACAGACUAAAUCCUUAAAUCAAUUUUCACAGUUUCCAAAAAUAAGCUUAUUUUAUUGAGACAUCUCACUGAACACUGUUCAAUAUAUACAUUAUUGGAUUUAAUGCUGCCUGGCUUCGGCUUUUCUUUCUUCUAAAUCAGAAAAUCGUCUCACUUUUGGGGUACAGAUCUUUCAGUAACUUUUGGUGUAAAUUAUUGCCAAAACUUUAAUUUCUCCCUGCAAGGAAUGCAGAACUUUACAUAUUUAUAUACGACGUAACUUCGAGGUUAAUGUUGCCUGCAGUAACGAAAACGAGUAAUUUUCACCUGUCUCUCUGCUCAAGGCACGAUGCAUGGGGUUAUACAACAUAAUGCCUGUAUGAUACACUUCUCCCCGAUAAACGUUUGUACUUUCUAUAUUGAGAUGCAGUUUAAACGUCUUUCUGCAGCAUAUGGAAUUUCCCCCCAAGAAAUAUAAUCCGAUAUAUCAGUAUGGAAUUGAUUCUGCAGUGGUGCACUGUGAUGCACGGAUUAUAUUUUGUGAGAGGAUUUUACAGCAUAUGUGAAUGUAUUUAACAUUUUAUUUACAUUAUCCAAGUGUGUCUCCCAUAUCUGGUUAUCCUGGAUAUGCAUAUCGAAAAAUUUUGUCACAUUCAUAGAUAAGACAGUUUUUUGUUAAUGUUAAAUAUCGGUCUUGGUGGAGUUUCUGUGAAGUGUGGCAAUUGGGUGACAACGUUUUUUUCAGAAUUUAUUAUCAGCUUAUUUGUUCUGAACCAUGGUGUUAAAUUUUGAAUUCUAUCUGCAGCUGUUUUUUUGUUGGAUUUCUUCAUCAUAUGACUUAAUUAUGAUAUCUGUUCCAUCUGUAAUAAGUACUGCUGUCCUCCAAGUUAAUUUUUCUGCUAUAUCGUUAACAUAAAGAAUGAUAAGAAUGUGCUGAAGGAUUGACCCUUGAGAGCUCCAUAUCUGAUUUAUUUGUGGAUUACUAUAAAAAUUAAAAAUGUUAUGCACUUUUGUGUCUUUGUAUUUUAUUUGAGUGAUCUGCUGAUGAUCAUGUGGGUAAGAAUGGACCCAUCUGUUCGGUAGGCCUUGUGUUCCAUAAUUACUUAACUUCUGCGAUGAGAUGUCAUGAUCAACUAGGCCGCACGGGAUUAGCCGAGCGGUCUAAGGCGCUGCAGUCAUGGACCGUGCGGCUGGUCCUGGCUGAGGUUUGAGUCCUCUCUCGGGCAAGGGUGUGUGUGUUUGUCCUUAGAAUAUUUUAGGGUAAAUAGUGUGUAAGCUUAGGGACUUAUGACCUUAGCAGUUAAGUCCCAUAAGAUUUCACACACAUUUGAACAUUUGAUCGACUACACUGAAAGCUUUA